GUUUGAUAUUUUAUUAUUUCAUUCGCAUCUGUAAAAAUUUAUUAACGUAUAAAAUAUUUCACAAUGUUGGCAAAUAAUUACAAACUGCUCAAAUAAGAUCUUUGAAAAAUGUAAUUAAUCAAGAAGUUUUGAAACCUAGCGUUGGUUUUAUGGGAGAGUGCAUUAGUCAGUCUCAGUAUACAUUCUGCUCGGCAGUCGACAGGGUGAAGUUUAGGUUAAUGUGUUAAGUAUUACGUUAUUGUGAAACAAUUUAUCUCAAAAUUCUGUAAAGGCAAUUGGCAAAUUAUCUAGCUCAUAAAAUCUUGCAAUUUGAUCUAGGAGAACGUAUGCACUCCAGCAAAUGCGUACGGCGGUGCAGUGGGCGUAUUGUGUCGAGUGAUAUCCAGAUGGUCGGCAUUGGUUUCUAAUUUGACGUACUGAAGCCGUCUGGAACAAGAGUGCUAAGAGCCAAGCCAUGGGGAAGAAAAUUCAUUCUCUCUGUUCAAAUGACCAGUGCAACAGCCAAAAUGACAAGGGCUUUGUUGUUGUUGCUUAGACGUUCUGAUGUUCGAAUUUUGAUAAGGUUGUAGAUCCUGCCAAUACGGAAGUUCAGCCAAUGUUGUAACACGACAAGUUGAUGCCCUCGUUACGUCGUGCGGUUCGGGUUAGUUUCACCGAGAUGAGGAAAAGUGACAACAUAACAUCGGUGGCAUUCCCUUCGGACACCGAGUGAUCCCAAGGCAUCAGGUACAUCCAGGAUAUCUGCAAGUACAAUUUAAAAAUUUAUUCUGUUAACCCCUAACGAUCAAUCCAGGACUUAGUUUUCUUGUCUAGUCGUCUAAGGCGGUCUAAGGGUCUAAACGUUACAAUCAGGUUGCAAAAAAUAUUGCAGAGAUAAAUCACUUGCUUUAAAAACAAUAUUUAGUAGCAAAGCUGGGUGCAUAAAACAUGCAUUUUAAUCUAGACAAAUGAGAAUACGAAUUCAUUACUUGGGAAACUGCUACGAAUUGUGAUUAUUCCCCUCGCGCUAUCGGGAGUGCGUGGAACAUCAUUCAGAGAACUACGCUAGUGCCUGAUGACAUCCAUAGGGCUUGUACCAUUUGCCUCGGAAGGUGUAUAAAUGCCUGGUAGUAUUCCUAUGUUUGCUAUCACUUACCGAGUUGAGCUCAGCAACAGCAGAACAGCAAGAAAUCAAUCUCUUCUUUAGAAUGAAACAGCAGACGUUCGCUGUAAUUGUCUUGGUAGUAUUGUGUUCAGUUCAACCUUAGCUUAAAGAAACUGGUGAUGAUAGUUUUGCUCCUCUAACGAAAACAUCGGAAGAAGAAAACUCGCCUGUGUCCCGCCUUAACAUUGUUGAAGACGCAACGGGUAGACAGUCUUUGCCAAUGCUUCCUCAACCAUGCUCAACCAAGAAUUACCAUAGGGUCUACUGUACGUCUAGGUGUAAAGGUGUUCCGUAGGCCUAUAGGCCUAUCGUGAAACAAACUCGAUUAACCAUGACACGCUUGUUUUUUACACAAGUUUUAUAAAGAGAAACAUGUUAAAUGCGAAGGGUUAACGAGAACAUUUUUGUAUGAAACAUAUCAUUUGACAUUAAUGUUAUACUUCAAGAACGACUGUGAUGAACGAAUAAAUAUGGGAGAUGAAAUGUU
This 1631-nucleotide long non-coding RNA is filed under the name Daphnia magna. Its description in RNAcentral is "uncharacterized LOC123467603, transcript variant X4". Lineage: Eukaryota; Metazoa; Arthropoda; Branchiopoda; Diplostraca; Daphniidae. The record is from RNAcentral.